This 281-nucleotide long non-coding RNA is filed under the name Ananas comosus (pineapple). RNAcentral's name for it is "long non-coding RNA (ACOM_LNC029610)". Lineage: Eukaryota; Viridiplantae; Streptophyta; Magnoliopsida; Poales; Bromeliaceae. The record is from RNAcentral.
CCCAAUUGAUGAAAAAAAUUAAUAAAAUAUAGUUUCAUUGGUCCAAUAUUAUUUAUAAAUUUGAAAAUUAUCAUUAUAUAUACCAGCGGUUUAGUAACUGCUGCAAUAAAAAUAAAAAGCGCUGGUAUAAUAUACUUUUAGCGACAGUUAGCCUAAUUGCUGGUAAAAAAACUGUUAGAAGAAGCUCUAUUUGUUGUAGUGUAUAGUCAAAUCCAAAACAAGUGAUAGUUGAGGAAAGUUUUUGUAUAUCUUCACUUCUCUUUAUUAUCCUCCUAAAAAGU